UAUUUCUACCUUUCUGUCUCUUUUCCAGCAUGCAAAUAACGUUCGACAAGCGGCGGAGGAAUAUCUAGCGAGAAGGCAAGCACGUAAUAAAUCCAUGACGAAAUCGAUGACAUCCGGCUUGGCGGGCCCCAUACUGAGCAUGGGCAAUGUCCAUUUUUUGCCAGCGGCCAAAAGUGGAACAUUUUUCGCCAGAGAUAAUGUCUCAAACUUCAUAGCAUGGUGCCGAAAAAGCCUUCAAAUUUUCGAAUGCCUAUUGUUCGAAACUGAUGAUUUGAUCAUGCGAAAGAAUGAAAAACAUGUGAUUCUAUGUUUAUUAGAGGUAGCUCGAAGAGGAGCUAAGUUUGGUAUGCUUGCUCCUAUGUUGGUGCAAAUGGAACGGCAAAUCGAUAGAGAAAUUGCCGCUGAUAAUAAAGCGAACGGAAUAGUCUGCGGUACGCAAACUGAAGGAAAUUCCCAUACAAUAGCAACAGGAACGGAAGAUGACUUGUUUGAUUCGGACAGUGAAGACGAAGAUGAUCCAAACGGUCCAAUGCUAAUGUACGGACCCCAACCGCAGAUUGUUACCAACGAUCUGAAAAGUUUGGACGAAAUGGUUCGAGAUCUGGUGGAAAAGUGCACCUGCCCGUCUCAGUUCCCCAUGGUACGAGUAUCAGAGGGAAAAUAUCGUAUUGGAGAUACCAAAGUGUUAAUUUUUGUGCGGAUUCUACGCUCGCACGUCAUGGUUCGAGUCGGUGGUGGUUGGGACACGCUUUCACAUUAUUUGGAUAAGCAUGACCCAUGUCGAUGCAAGGCACAGCAUCGCUCAUCAGUGGCGGCAAGACUAAUUACCAAAACAAACCAUUUGAGCAAUGGCAUUGAGCUUCACAAAGCUCAGGUCGUUUAUGAGAGAUCACCAACGCCGUCAUGGAAGUCUAAUGCUCAUACCGCACAGACCGCGUCACCUAAUAUGGACAGCCUCGGUAGUACCUUGUCUCCACCAUCCCGUGCUCGCAGUCGAAGCCGUAGUCCAAGCGCUCAGCGUAAAAUUAACCAUAACAAUGAAUCGGCGGCAACCAUACACGAGAAGGGAUACCUCGCUUCUCCAAAUUUGACUCGCCGUUCGAUGUCGCCUAGUCCUCGUCGUUUAGAUAUGAAGAAAAAGCAAAACUCGCUGGAUUCGAGUUCAACGGUAGCACAAGCUAAUAAUAAUACUAAUAGCGGAAGUAACAGCGGCAAUCAGCUGCACCAAGCAACGGUACACUUCGAGUGUGAUCGGGACGGUUCUAUUAUAACUGAUAGUAAGACUGAGUCCUCUGGGGAGGACAAAACCAACAAGUACGAAAACAUCAGUGACAACGGUAGUGAAAUCAGCGAUGAGGGUUAUCGCAGUUUGGGAAUCAUUCAGUCCAGUGGUACCGCAUCUCAAGCACAAAAACGGGUAUCAUUGUACAGCCAAGCCUCGAAUGAAGAUGCUGAAAUUAGCGCGCAUCUCGAACAAAUAACCCCGGACUCGCAGGUAACACCAACUGACGAUAGUAGCUCUAAGGCAAACGAUGAAGAUCUUACUACUAUCUCUGAUGAAGUAACAGCCAAAUCCGACGACGCUGACAAGGUCGCGGAAUUGCAGGAUAAUGUAGAUUCCGGAGAAACUCCGGAGUCACAUUUUGCAAAAUCAGGUGUCUUCAUUACGGAUGAUGAGAUCACGAUCGACAUUGCUGGUAGUACAGGUCUGAGAAAGACUGGAUUUUCAGAAAAUUUAUAUGAUCCAAAUAACCCUGUUAUGUCUAAGACUCAACCGGCUUCCAAAAUUCCCAAGUCGCCUUUACCGUCGAGACGCAAAAGUGCCGAAGGUUCCACGACGGCUUCUAGUGACAAAGCAUCUUCUUUGAAUAGGAAAAUUCCAACCUAUCGUUCUGUUCGCAAAGUUAACCCCUCACCCGACCAAAAAGACAAUACUUGGAGUGGCAGGACCACCAAGCAAAGAACGCCUCUAGCAGCAGAUACGUUUGAUACCAAAGUAAAUUCCCCACAGGCAACGCUAUCCCGUAACUCUCCAGCAAGAACUUCACAGUAUGAUAAGAAUGGUAGAAAAAUCAAACCAGUCAGCAGUUCGGUCAACACGUCUCCAAUCAAAAACGGACAGGCUUCGGUUUUGGCGCAGCAGCUAAUAGAAGCAGCAGCAGGGGCCCAGAAUGACACUCAAAUUAUAGAAAAAGUGAAACAGUUGCUCUCUAAAUAUUCCUCCAGUCAACAACAAUCCGUGACACCGGGUGGCAGUGAGUUUGAUGAUUUCACCACUGCAUGGGUUAACAACAACGGAAUAGUCGAUCGCAACAUGAGCAAUUCCCCCAAGACACAGUCUAAGCGAAGCUCAACUGUAUCUACCACUUCGGAAGGGGCAAAUUGCAAAGAAAUUCCAUCAGUCAUGUCACCUCGACGAGAUAAGGGUAUGUCGAAGAUUCCAGCGCCCGUUCGGUCCAACACCGGGCUGUACUGACACCGACGCAAUCAGUCAUUGAAUAGUUUCGGUGCUAAGCAAUGAUUGCAUUGUUUGGAACCGCAAAUGUAGUUCUAAGGUUCCAAAACUCUCUAUGGGAAACACAACAAUGAUGUUAUACUAAUGUGCUGCUGUUUCUUUAUUGAGUUGCCGCCAUAUGCACUUAGAAGUUGCGUCGCGAUAUAUGUAUCAUUUAGCAGUGUAAUACUAUGGAAAGAGUCCCAAAUAAAAAAAUCCGCUGUUCCAUUUUAGUCGCAAAAAGUCGAAUCAGUCAGUGUUAUGCUUUUCAAUUUCACAACUGAGUUUAAGCAACAAACUUGUAAGCUCCAUUAAAACUUUUUAGAAAUCCUCGAAAAGCAUUCCCAUGAGCUAGACUCUAAAUCCAGUACUAUCAUUAAAGCGGUGCUUUUUUACUGUUUGUUUAGAGAAAUUUAUUCCGUUAUGAAUAUCAACAAUUACGUUUGCAAUAAGAUAAAAAAAAAAUGAAACAUAGUUGAUUUUAACGAAAAGAAGAAAGACAUCUGUACAGUAGUAGGAGACGAUAAUGUUUUAAUGAGUUUUCCUGAUAUUAUCAUAAGAAAAAACGACUAACUUUUUACACUUUACUCGCUAACAUUUGUCCUCUUUGUAGUUAGAAUAGGAUAACAAGCAAUUAAAUACAAAUCUAAUGGUUAGAUACGAACGUGCAACUAAACAAAGACACGGAACUUGGUUCGUCCGUAAUCAGUGAAAAUCAUCAAUAGUGCAAUCUAAACGCAUAACAAAACGCCAUAUAUAGUCCCAAAAUAUUUACAAUAAUGAAUACACAGCAUAGUACGUUUGAAUACUGACGAUCAAUAUAAUGGUAAGUUACGACGGAACAUUUGGAAAAGCUUGGAAAAUAGAAACAGCUGUUGAAUAUCGGUAGAAAAGAAUUACAUUCGUUCCCAUUUUCUGUAGAAUUAAUACAAUUAUGUACUUUUUCUACUGGAAGUGGAGGGCACAUAAGAACGAAUAUAAGUUUGUUUUAAUUGAGUUUCAAGUGUUGUUUCCACUCACCAAGCAUACCUCCGCUGUUCCUUCAUUCGACUUUGAGUCAAGCAUGAGUUGCAAAUAUAAGCCCACAUUUAAUCAAUGUAUUUUAACAAGAAAAUAUAGUUCAGACUGCCAAUUUCUU
Ochlerotatus camptorhynchus is the source of this 3632-nucleotide RNA transcript. It is a transcript of the gene named pickled eggs, with no coding region annotated. NCBI's taxonomy places the organism in Eukaryota, Metazoa, Arthropoda, Insecta, Diptera, Culicidae. The transcript is spliced from 9 exons. The record is from RefSeq and is a predicted model, not a curated record.